Molecule: ribosomal RNA, 253 nt
Filed under: uncultured bacterium
Lineage: Bacteria
Description: partial 16S ribosomal RNA
Rfam family: Bacterial small subunit ribosomal RNA
Source: RNAcentral
UACGUAGGUGGCAAGCGUGUCCGGAUUUACUGGGCGUAAAGGAUGCGUAGGCGGACAUUUUAAGUCAGAUGUGAAAUACCCGAGCUUAACUUGGGUGCUGCAUUUGAAACUGGGUGUCUAGAGUGCAGGAGAGGUAAGUGGAAUUCCUAGUGUAGCGGUGAAAUGCGUAGAGAUUAGGAAGAACACCAGUGGCGAAGGCGACUUACUGGACUGUAACUGACGCUGAGGCAUGAAAGCGUGGGGAGCAAACAGG